This 233-nucleotide unclassified non-coding RNA is filed under the name fungal sp. Its description in RNAcentral is "partial internal transcribed spacer region". The stretch from base 1 to 46 matches the Rfam family "Eukaryotic small subunit ribosomal RNA", at positions 1786 to 1831 of the family's 1831-position model. The record is from RNAcentral. Lineage: Eukaryota; Fungi.
AAGUCGUAACAAGGUUUCCGUAGGUGAACCUGCGGAAGGAUCAUUACAGAGUUCAUGCCCUUAUGGGUAGAUCUCCCACCCUUGAAUAUAUUACCUUUGUUGCUUUGGCGGGCCGCCUCGUCCACUGGCUUCGGCUAGUGAGUGCCCGCCAGAGGACCCCAAAUUCUGAUUUAUAGUGUUGUCUGAGUACUAUUUAAUAGUUAAAACUUUCAACAACGGAUCUCUUGGUUCUG